AUGUGUAUGAUUGUGCAGGUGAGAAGGCACCUGAUGCUGCUGCACGGCGUCUAUCUCGCGGAGCUCAUAAAUGCGGCGCCCCCAGUCAUUGCCUGCUGCAAGCCAGCCAACACGAUCCUUGUUCCAAACAGCUUAAGGAUUCGGAAGAUGCCAUGCCGUAGCAAGGUUCAAAUGUUUACAUGGAGACUUAGGCACAGAUCUCUCACUUUGUGCACGAACCUGGUUAGAGGGGGAGUACAGAUCGAGGGCACAAAAUGUCUGUUCUGCGGGAGAGCUGAGGAUACGGUGUGCAUCUAUUUAUCAAGUGCUAAUCUGUGA
This 318-nucleotide ribosomal RNA is filed under the name Triticum aestivum (bread wheat). RNAcentral describes it as "partial small subunit ribosomal RNA". The record is from RNAcentral. Lineage: Eukaryota; Viridiplantae; Streptophyta; Magnoliopsida; Poales; Poaceae.